CCUACGGGUGGCUGCAGUGGGGAAUAUUGGACAAUGGGGGCAACCCUGAUCCAGCCAUGCCGCGUGUGUGAAGAAGGCCCUCGGGUUGUAAAGCACUUUCAGUGAGGAAGAACGCCUGGUGGUUAAUACCCAUCAGGAAAGACAUCACUCACAGAAGUAGCACCGGCUAACUCCGUGCCAGCAGCCGCGGUAAUACGGAGGGUGCGAGCGUUAAUCGGAAUUACUGGGCGUAAAGCGCGCGUAGGUGGCUUGAUAAGCCGGUUGUGAAAGCCCCGGGCUCAACCUGGGAACGGCAUCCGGAACUGUCAAGCUAGAGUGCAGGAGAGGAAGGUAGAAUUCCCGGUGUAGCGGUGAAAUGCGUAGAGAUCGGGAGGAAUACCAGUGGCGAAGGCGGCCUUCUGGACUGACACUGACACUGAGGUGCGAAAGCGUGGGUAGCAAACAGGAUUAGAUACCCCUGUAGUC
This 465-nucleotide ribosomal RNA is filed under the name Vreelandella stevensii. RNAcentral's name for it is "partial 16S ribosomal RNA". It matches the Rfam family "Bacterial small subunit ribosomal RNA", at positions 338 to 795 of the family's 1533-position model. Lineage: Bacteria; Pseudomonadati; Pseudomonadota; Gammaproteobacteria; Oceanospirillales; Halomonadaceae. The record is from RNAcentral.